RNAcentral lists this transfer RNA (78 nucleotides) under compost metagenome. RNAcentral describes it as "tRNA-Met". It matches the Rfam family "tRNA". From Rfam's summary of the family: Transfer RNA (tRNA) molecules are approximately 80 nucleotides in length. Their secondary structure includes four short double-helical elements and three loops (D, anti-codon, and T loops). The record is from RNAcentral.
UGCGAGAUAGAGAAGUCUGGUCAUCUCACAAGGCUCAUAACCUUGAGGUCGGAGGUUCAAAUCCUUCUCUCGCAUCCA